RNAcentral lists this ribosomal RNA (434 nucleotides) under uncultured bacterium. Its description in RNAcentral is "partial 16S ribosomal RNA". It matches the Rfam family "Bacterial small subunit ribosomal RNA", at positions 29 to 507 of the family's 1533-position model. The record is from RNAcentral.
AGCGAACGCUGGCGGCAGGCCUAACACAUGCAAGUCGAACGAACCUUUCGGGGUUAGUGGCGGACGGGUGAGUAACACGUGGGAACGUGCCUUUAAGUUCGGAAUAACUCAGGGAAACUUGUGCUAAUACCGAAUGUGCCCUUUGGGGGAAAGAUUUAUCGCCUUUAGAGCGGCCCGCGUCUGAUUAGCUAGUUGGUUGAGGUAAUGGCUCACCAAGGCGACGAUCAGUAGCUGGUCUGAGAGGAUGAUCAGCCACAUUGGGACUGAGACACGGCCCAAACUCCUACGGGAGGCAGCAGUGGGGAAUCUUGCGCAAUGGGCGAAAGCCUGACGCAGCCAUGCCGCGUGAAUGAUGAAGGUCUUAGGAUUGUAAAAUUCUUUCACCGGGGACGAUAAUGACGGUACCCGGAGAAGAAGCCCCGGCUAACUUCGUG